AGUGAGUUGUUGGUAGGAGAAAUGUUACUUCUUUGCCAGGGCACACUGCUGUCUCCUGUUCAGUUUGCUGUCUGCCAUGUAGCCCUAGGACCUUGUCAGCAGUGCUGCUGUCCAGCCAGUCCCAAGCCUGUGUCAGUAAAGGGCUUCUCCCUUCCCGGUUCACAGCAUGGAAGAUGCUCCAUGAGGGUGAAGCAAGGAUGGAAGAAGUUAGUGUUAUCCAGCAUUCCUGCUGAGUAUAUAACUUACUGCCACUUCUGAUCUUUGAAGAGAGAUUUAUCGCUUCCUGUGGCAAUACUGAAUUCUCAAAAGUUUCACUAGUACA
Molecule: long non-coding RNA, 322 nt
Filed under: Athene cunicularia (burrowing owl)
Lineage: Eukaryota; Metazoa; Chordata; Aves; Strigiformes; Strigidae
Description: lncRNA (ENSACUG00000009374.1)
Source: RNAcentral